This 24-nucleotide microRNA is filed under the name Prunus persica (peach). RNAcentral's name for it is "microRNA miRNA_50". The record is from RNAcentral. Lineage: Eukaryota; Viridiplantae; Streptophyta; Magnoliopsida; Rosales; Rosaceae.
AGUUCAAGAGAUUGUGGUCACUCA